This 166-nucleotide small nuclear RNA is filed under the name Paramormyrops kingsleyae. RNAcentral describes it as "U1 spliceosomal RNA (ENSPKIG00000001579.1)". The record is from RNAcentral. Lineage: Eukaryota; Metazoa; Chordata; Actinopteri; Osteoglossiformes; Mormyridae.
UUACUUUGCUGCCAGGGGGGCUAUGAUGAACCACAUAGGUGCCCCUCCCAGGGUAACGAUCAGUCACUGCACUGCCGCUGCUCUGACCCCUGCAGUGUCCCCAAAUAUGGGCAUCCCAGCUGCAGAAUUUAUUGCAUUCGCAAUCUCUCCUGAUGAUCUUUUGCAG